This 88-nucleotide transfer RNA is filed under the name Anaerovorax odorimutans. RNAcentral describes it as "tRNA-Leu". It matches the Rfam family "tRNA". Rfam says of the family: Transfer RNA (tRNA) molecules are approximately 80 nucleotides in length. RNAcentral also lists the same sequence under 10 other names. Lineage: Bacteria; Bacillati; Bacillota; Clostridia; Peptostreptococcales; Anaerovoracaceae. The record is from RNAcentral.
GCGGAUAUGGCGGAACUGGCAGACGCGCACGGUUCAGGUCCGUGUGAAUAUUGUUUUCGUGGAGGUUCGAAUCCUCUUAUCCGCACCA